GACGAACGCUGGCGGCGUGCUUAACACAUGCAAGUCGAACGGAAAGGCCCUGCUUUUGUGGGGUGCUCGAGUGGCGAACGGGUGAGUAACACGUGAGUAACCUGCCCUUGACUUUGGGAUAACUUCAGGAAACUGGGGCUAAUACCGGAUAGGAGCUCCUGCUGCAUGGUGGGGGUUGGAAAGUUUCGGCGGUUGGGGAUGGACUCGCGGCUUAUCAGCUUGUUGGUGGGGUAGUGGCUUACCAAGGCUUUGACGGGUAGCCGGCCUGAGAGGGUGACCGGCCACAUUGGGACUGAGAUACGGCCCAGACUCCUACGGGAGGCAGCAGUGGGGAAUAUGGCACAAUGGGCGGAAGCCUAAGGCAGCAACGCCGCGUGCGGGAUGACGGCCUUCGGGUUUUAAACCGCUUUCGCCUGGGACGAAGCGUGAGUGACGGUAAUGGGUAAAGAAGCACCGGCUAACUACGUG
Molecule: ribosomal RNA, 468 nt
Filed under: uncultured bacterium
Lineage: Bacteria
Description: partial 16S ribosomal RNA
Rfam family: Bacterial small subunit ribosomal RNA
Source: RNAcentral